This 322-nucleotide ribosomal RNA is filed under the name uncultured eukaryote. RNAcentral describes it as "partial 18S ribosomal RNA". It matches the Rfam family "Eukaryotic small subunit ribosomal RNA", at positions 1470 to 1796 of the family's 1831-position model. The record is from RNAcentral.
CACUUAGAUGUUCUGGGCCGCACGCGUGCUACACUGAGUGGAUCAGCGGGUCAGGUUGCGCGAAAGCGUUUCCUAAUCUUUAAAUCCGCUCGUGAUGGGGAUUGACGGUUGCAAUUUUCUGUCAUGAACGAGGAAUACCUUGUAAGCGCGGGUCAUCAUCCCGCGCUGAAUACGUCCCUGCCCUUUGUACACACCGCCCGUCGCUCCUACCGAUUGAGUGGUCCGGUGAGGCUUUGGGAUCUGAGCGGAAAGAGCGUUUCGCUGUUUCUGCUCGGAAAACUCAGUCGAACCUUAUCAUUUAGGGGAAGGAGAAGUCGUAACA